Molecule: long non-coding RNA, 1002 nt
Filed under: Paramuricea clavata
Lineage: Eukaryota; Metazoa; Cnidaria; Anthozoa; Malacalcyonacea; Plexauridae
Source: RNAcentral
GUCGUGUUUCCACACAAUUUCUCGUUUUCCCAAUUUCCACUCGUGUUGAUAUAACUGUAUAUCAACACGGAAAAUGUUUUAUAUUUGUUAAAUAUAACAUGAACCGAGUGAGCACUGAUUUCAAAAUUUUGGUGAAAAUCAGUGUACAAAAUAUGCAGAUUUGAGAUGUUUCGGUUUGUCAGACAGGGUCGUUCCUAGCGCGAUAAUUAGGGGAGGGGGUGUAUAUUCAUAUAUUGGUGUUUUGCCCGACGGAUUUUUUUUGAGACCGAUUGUUUUUACGGGAUGUGAACAAGAAUAUAUGAAUAUACACCCCCCCCCNNNNNNNNNNNNNNNNNNNNCCCCCCCCCCCCCCCCCCCUCAAUUAUCGCGUCUAGGAACGGCCCUGUUGUCAGGAAUGUUGGAACAACUUCAUGCAACAAGUCUGUUGAGCUCAACAACAACCUUGUAGCAAGUUUUCAACAAGCCGUUGACAACUUGUCAACAAGCUGGGAACAAGCAGUGCGAACACAUCCUGUUGACAAGUUGUUGGAACAGCAUUGCUACAAGUCUGUUGCAAGUUUGUUACAAUUUGUGCGUUAUUACGUGUGUAAUUUUCAUCAAAAUCGAUGUUGCAAUAUUCAAUAUGUCGCUUCCAUCACCCGCGGUUUUAAACAGCUCCUUGACAUAAAAUCUCGCUUUAAACCGAGUCUUUGAUUUCAGAUUUGUUCAAAUUUUAAUCUACAAAUACGUUUCUACCAUUUCGCGUCUUUGUUUUGUGUUUCCAUUCAUUUCGUGGCAAUUUCCAUUUGCCUCCACGUCUUUCGUGUCGCCGUUUACAAUCAACGUUUGUGCCGUAUGCGUCGGACUGUCCAUGAUGGUCAGCGGGUUCUGCCAUGUGCGCCAAGUCGCAAAGCCAAAAUAAUGUAGUAUGGCGACAAGGGGAAUUAAUAUGAUUGAGACUAGACUCAUUGCAAUACCAACAAAUACAGCCCACGGUGGGAAUUUUAACUUCGGCAUCUUUCC